GCAAGUCGAGGGGUAACAGGGAUUGCUUGCCAUCCGCUGACGACCGGCGCACGGGUGCGUAACGCGUAUACACUCUCCCCUUACUGCGAGAUAGCCCAGAGAAAUUUGGAUUAAUAUCGCAUGUUAUUAUAUUACGGCAUCGUAUUUAUAAUUAAAGGUUACGGUAAGAGAUGAGUAUGCGUCCUAUUAGAUAGUUGGUAAGGUAACGGCUUACCAAGGCAGCGAUAGGUAGGGGCCCUGAGAGGGGGAUC
RNAcentral lists this ribosomal RNA (251 nucleotides) under uncultured bacterium. Its description in RNAcentral is "partial 16S ribosomal RNA". It matches the Rfam family "Bacterial small subunit ribosomal RNA", at positions 57 to 305 of the family's 1533-position model. The record is from RNAcentral.